RNAcentral lists this ribosomal RNA (490 nucleotides) under uncultured bacterium. Its description in RNAcentral is "bacterial SSU rRNA". It matches the Rfam family "Bacterial small subunit ribosomal RNA", at positions 23 to 507 of the family's 1533-position model. The record is from RNAcentral.
CUCAGGAUGAACGCUAGCGGCAGGCUUAAUACAUGCAAGUCGUGGGGCAGCAUGAGUAGCAAUACUUGAUGGCGACCGGCAAACGGGUGAGGAACACGUACACAACCUUCCUUCAAGCGGGGAAUAGCCCAGAGAAAUUUGGAUUAAUACCCCAUAAUAUAUUUGAUAAGGCAUCUUAUUAAUAUUAAAGCUUCGGCACUUGAUGAUGGGUGUGCGGCUGAUUAGAUAGUUGGCGGGGUAACGGCCCACCAAGUCUACGAUCAGUAGCUGAUGUGAGAGCAUGAUCAGCCACGCGGGCACUGAGACACGGGCCCGACUCCUACGGGAGGCAGCAGUAAGGAAUAUUGGACAAUGGACGAAAGUCUGAUCCAGCCAUGCCGCGUGAAGGAUUAAGGUCCUCUGGAUUGUAAACUUCUUUUAUAUGGGACGAAAAAAGGGCAUUCUUGUUCACUUGACGGUACCAUAUGAAUAAGCACCGGCUAACUCCGUG